Molecule: non-coding RNA, 125 nt
Organism: Brachypodium distachyon (stiff brome)
Lineage: Eukaryota; Viridiplantae; Streptophyta; Magnoliopsida; Poales; Poaceae
Source: Rfam
UUGCUACUCCCUCCGUCCCAUAUUAAGUGACUCAAAUUUGCCCAACUAUGGAUGUAUCUGUGACUAAACAGUGUCUAGAUACAUGUAAUAGAAAGUCACUUAAUAUGGGACGGAGCGAGUAUAUA